GAUGAAGAACGCAGCGAAAUGCGAUAAGUAAUGCGAAUUGCAGAAUUUCCGUGAGUCAUCGAAUCUUUGAACGCACAUUGCGCCCGCCAGCAUUCUGGCGGGCAUGCCUGUUCGAGCGUCAUUUCAACCCUCGAGCCCCCCCGGGGGCCUCGGUGUUGGGGGACGGCACACCAGCCGCCCCCGAAAUGCAGUGGCGACCCCGCCGCAGCCUCCCCUGCGUAGUAGCACACACCUCGCACCGGAGCGCGGAGGCGGUCACGCCGUAAAACGCCCAACUUUCUUAGAGUUGACCUCGGAUCAGGUAGGAAUACCCGCUGAACUUAAGCAUAUCAAUAAGCGGAGGA
RNAcentral lists this unclassified non-coding RNA (344 nucleotides) under soil metagenome. RNAcentral's name for it is "partial contains 5.8S ribosomal RNA, internal transcribed spacer 2, and large subunit ribosomal RNA". The stretch from base 1 to 121 matches the Rfam family "5.8S ribosomal RNA", at positions 35 to 154 of the family's 154-position model. The record is from RNAcentral.